This 467-nucleotide ribosomal RNA is filed under the name uncultured bacterium. RNAcentral describes it as "partial 16S ribosomal RNA". It matches the Rfam family "Bacterial small subunit ribosomal RNA", at positions 28 to 507 of the family's 1533-position model. The record is from RNAcentral.
GACGAACGCUGGCGGCGUGCUUAACACAUGCAAGUCGAACGGAAAGGCCCUGCUUUUGUGGGGUGCUCGAGUGGCGAACGGGUGAGUAACACGUGAGUACCUGCCCUUGACUUUGGGGUAACUUUAGGAAACCGGGGCUAAUACCGGAUAGGAGCUCCUGCUGCCUGGUGGGGGUUGGGAAGUUUCGGCGGUUGGGGAUGGACUCGCGGCUUAUCAGAUUGUUGGUGGGGUAGUGGCUUACCAAGGCUUUGACGGGUAGCCGGCCUGAGAGGGUGACCGGCCACAUUGGGACUGAGAUACGGCCCAGACUCCUACGGGAGGCAGCAGUGGGGAAUAUUGCACAAUGGGCGGAAGCCUGAUGCAGCAACGCCGCGUGCGGGAUGACGGCCUUCGGGUUGUAAACCGCUUUCGCCUGUGACGAAGCGUGAGUGACGGUAAUGGGUAAAGAAGCACCGGCUAACUACGUG